GCGUGAGUGAAGAAGGCCUUCGGGUUGUAAAGCUCUUUUCAGUUGAGAAGAAAAGAUUGUAACUAAUAAUUACGAUCCGUGACGGUAUCAACAGAAGAAGCACCGGCUAACUACGUGCCAGCAGCCGCGGUAAUACGUAGGGUGCGAGCGUUAAUCGGAAUUACUGGGCGUAAAGGGUGCGCAGGCGGUUCUGUAAGUCAGAUGUGAAAUCCCCCGGGCUUAACCUGGGAACUGCGUUUGAAACUACAGAGCUAGAGUGUGGCAGAGGGGGGUGGAAUUCCAUGUGUAGCAGUGAAAUGCGUAGAGAUAUGGAAGAACAUCGAUGGCGAAGGCAGCCCCCUGGGUCAACACUGACGCUCAGGCACGAAAGCGUGGGGAGCAAACAGGAUUAGAUACCCUGGUAGUCCACGCCCUAAACUAUGUCAACUAGUUGUCGGGCCUUAUUAGGUUUGGUAACGUAGCUAACGCGUGAAGUUGACCGCCUGGGGAGUACGGUCGCAAGAUUAAAACUCAAAGGAAUUGACGGGGAC
RNAcentral lists this ribosomal RNA (530 nucleotides) under uncultured bacterium. RNAcentral describes it as "bacterial SSU rRNA". It matches the Rfam family "Bacterial small subunit ribosomal RNA", at positions 399 to 920 of the family's 1533-position model. The record is from RNAcentral.